RNAcentral lists this ribosomal RNA (305 nucleotides) under uncultured bacterium. RNAcentral's name for it is "bacterial SSU rRNA". It matches the Rfam family "Bacterial small subunit ribosomal RNA", at positions 334 to 636 of the family's 1533-position model. The record is from RNAcentral.
UCGGCCUACGGGGCGCAGCAGUGAGGAAUAUUGGUCAAUGGGCGGGAGCCUGAACCAGCCAAGCCGCGUGAAGGAAGAAGGCGCCAGGCGUCGUAAACUUCUUUUGUCGGGGAACAAAGGGCGCCACGUGUGGCGUUGUGAGUGUACCCGAAGAAAAAGCAUCGGCUAACUCCGUGCCAGCAGCCGCGGUAAUACGGAGGGUGCGAGCGUUAAUCGGAAUUACUGGGCGUAAAGCGCACGUAGGCUGUUGUGUAUGUCAGGGGUGAAAUCCCACGGCUCAACCGUGGAACUGCCCUUGAUACUGC